This is a long non-coding RNA of Callithrix jacchus (white-tufted-ear marmoset), 1100 nucleotides long. Lineage: Eukaryota; Metazoa; Chordata; Mammalia; Primates; Cebidae. The record is from Ensembl.
AUCCUUCAUAUUACCUGAUUUAAUUUUUUUUCAAGGUCUAUUUUCUGUCUCUGGACUAAUUGAUGUUUAUAUAUAUAUAUAUGUUACACAUACUUAACUGGACUUUCUAAAGGAUCUUCAUGAAAAUGCAUUUGCCACCAUUUUUUAUUGCUGCAGUGCACCUUGGGAAGGAGCCAGGCUGCUCAUCUUCAGCACUGAAAGGAGAACAAAGGGCUUCUCUGAAGGGGAAUUGCUGAUUUCCCAUUUAGCUUGGCCAGAAAGACCACUUCAUCAGAUUGCUGAAAGAGGGAUCUCACAUCACCUUUCUAAAUUCCUGGACAGUACAGAAGCACAUGCUGAGUAUUUUGGCAAGACUCAUCUUACCUGCAGGGUAAGUAGGUCACUGCCUAUUACAGGCCUGGACUGAAGGUCCUUGAAAUUACUUUUCCCAAUGCCUGCCUUCAUUUCUAGUCAUAUAUUUAUUCUUUUGUACUAAAUCCUGUACUAAACUACAAAGUAACUUGUGGGAAGGAGGGAGGUAAGAGAAAUUAAUCCAUCCCUAGUCUAACUGAGAUUUGAUUUUUUGGAGCUUGUUUGGAUCUUGGGCAGAGUGGAAAAGACUUUCUAGGCUAGUUGAGUAGAACUGAAUAGCAAGGUUGGCUGACCUGAGAACUAUGACAGGGUAAUAAAAAUGACAAUUCUCUCAGCUUCCCUUUGCCCUUCUUCCCAACUCUUUUCCCAAAUUUGUCUUGUUCCCCUAGAGGAAGAGAAAAUUCUCUUAGUCUUUGUGAGGCUAAUCUCUUUACCUGUACUGUCCAUCACUUAGUCUUAUCUAGGACUUUUCUUCAUCAUGCAUAUCUUGCUUUCCUAUACAUUCAUUUCUUCCUGUUUGUUGAUUCCUUCUCUUCACCUUACAAGUUAGUGCAGAUUUUUUUCUUCCUAAAAUGAAAAAUAAAAUGUAAACAAAUACCCAAAUCUUCAAACAAAACAAAACAAAACAACUUCCUGUAAAUUUCAAAUCCUAUGUCCCAGUCACUAUCCUGUUUAUUCCCUCAAAAAAAUAUUUUUAAGAGAGUCUCUAGGAACGCUUUGUACUACAAAUAGUCAAAAACCUGAACAAC